UCUCGCAUGUGCUCGCAUGUUCUCGCGCAACACGUGUGCCCGAUGUGCUCGACGAAAUCUGAUUUUUGACGAGAUCUGAUAGUUCCACACAAAAGAUAGAAAAUCAUUUGAUGAAAAAUAUUGGAAAAGAGAGGAAAUAUAGAAAAUCAAGCAUAUAGUACAUAAAUAUGUAAUUAUUGCGUAUUGUAAAAAAUAUGGAUAAAUAUAACGCAAAACAAAAAAAAAUUGUUUCUAAACGUCACAAUAGACGAAUUAUAGCAAAUAAUACAGAUUGAUAUAGCAGGAUGCUCUGAAUUUAUUUCGAAUCGGCACACUAUAAAUAUUUCUUCUAAAAAUUCUUCUAAUCUAGAUUUAUUUGAUGAGACUCUUGCAGAAAUUCAUAUUUCUAAUUUACAUGAUACUCAGAAAAUUUUUAAUGAAACUACAUUGUCAGAAAAACAUAAUAAUGAUAUACAAACAAACAGUUGUAACUAUCAGAACUGUAUUACUAACGAAACUAUCACGGCUAAUAAUGUUAAUAAUGAGGACGAAUUAAGAAAUGCUAUAGCUACAUGGGCAGUAUCCCAUAAUAUUACCCAUAACGCAUGUAAUGACUUAUUACAUAUUUUACAUCGGUAUACGCCGUAUAACAUACCUGUAGAUGUACGUACAUUAUUGCACACUCCUAGACAAACUAAUAUUUCUAGAAUAUGUGAAGGGGAAUAUUUUCAUUCGAAUUUGCAGGAUAUUAUUAAAAAGAUGCUAUCAAAAAAUAAUGAUACCUGUAUUAAUUUAAUUUUAAAUAUUGAUGGUCUUCCAUUAGCAAAAUCAUCACAAGCAACUUUAUGGACAAUUUUAUGUUCUAAUACGGUAAAUACGACAGUAUAUCUUGUUGGUGCUUACUUUGGAUAUCAAAAACUUUCUGACCCUAAUGUUUUUUUGCAACCUGUAGUUGAUGACUUAAUUAAUUUAACUAAUAAUGGCUACAUUCAUGCCGAAAAAAUAAUCACAAUUAAAUUAUGUGCUUUAAUAUGCGACGCACCUGCAAAGUCAUUCGUUUUAUGUACAAAAAGUCACAAUGCAUAUUUUAGUUGCACUAAAUGCUUAAUAAAAGGAAAGUAUCUAAAUGGUAGAAUUUGUUUUCCAUCUCACAAAACUUAUCCUCUAAGAAAAGAUGAGUUAUUUGCCCUCAACGCAUAUAAAGAUUUUCAGAUUGGAUUUUCUAUAUUAAAUAAUAUUUCCAAAUUUUUACCUUUAACUAAUACCUCCUUAGACUAUAUGCAUCUUAUACGUUUAGGGAUCGUAAAAAAAAUACUAAUUCUAUUGAUGACAGGGCCAUUCUCUGUACGUUUAGGUAGAAGAGCCAUUAAUAAAAUAUCACAUUUAUUAAUGUUAUUUAGAUUUACUACACCAAAUGAUUUUGUACGACGACCUAGGUCGUUAAAAGAAGUAAAGAAUUGGAAAGCUGUAGAAUUUCGAAAUUUCUUAUUAUACACAGGUCCUAUCGUAUUAAAGGAUAUAUUAAAGCAUGCUUUGUAUAUUCAUUUUCUAACACUACAUGUAGCUAUAACAAUUCUUAUACGUCAAAAUUCAUGCCAAGAAGAAUUAAAUUUUGCUGAAGCUUUAUUGAAGCACUUCGUUAAAUCUUUUGAAAUAUUAUACGGUAAACAGUAUGUAUCGCACAAUGUACAUAAUCUUUUGCAUAUAUGUUCUGACGUUAAAAUGUAUGGCCCACUAGACAAUUUCAGUGCUUUUCGGUUUGAAAAUUAUAUGUCGUUUAUUAAAAGACGAUUACGUAAAAAUGAAAAACCAUUACAACAAUUAGUUAAAAGAUAUCAUGAGAUUGAUAAUUGUAAUGUAUUACCUUCGGAGAAUAAUGAAACAUAUUCAUGUAAAUUUGUACACAGCAAUGGUCCAAUACCAGACCAUUUUAAUGUUCACUUACAAUAUCAAAUGAUAUGUAACGGAAAAUUUAAUAUAAAUUGCAAAGGUGGUAAUAACAAUUGUUGUCUAUUAAAAGAUGGUACAUAUGUUCUGAUUCUAAACAUAGUACAAAAAAAAAUAAAGACAUUUUUCUAAUUGGAAAAAAACUGAAAUACUUAAAAGAAGUCUAUACAUUACCAUGUAACUCCAGCGAUUUUGGUAUUAAAAUCAUGAGUGUAGAUUAUAAUAAUAUUUUCUCUUGGCCAAUUACUGAUUUAUUAUGCAAAACUUGGAAAAUUUCUUAUGGCAAUGAUCGAGAUAUAUUUGCUAUAUUUCCUCUUAAUCAUCAAAUAUAACAAGGGUGGCCAAAAUCCGUGGCACGCGUACCAUUAUUAUACAAUUUUAUAGUGAUACGCUUAGAAAAGCUUAAAGUCUUUUUGCUUUUAGUGCAAGAAAAGAAAACGUAUAAGUAAGAUUACGAUCUUUCUUUUUACCUAAUUUUGUAGUAGCACAUCGAAGAUUUCAAACCUUUAUUGUGGUACGCCCGACAAAAAGAAAUGGACAGCAACAGAUUUAUAAUUGCGGAAUUUAAUGACGGGUUACAGUUAAUACCCGCAAUAUGGUAUAAUGCAAAUAAAUCUUCAAGCAUCUGGCCUAGU
This is a long non-coding RNA of Wasmannia auropunctata (little fire ant), 2561 nucleotides long. RefSeq lists it as uncharacterized. NCBI's taxonomy places the organism in Eukaryota, Metazoa, Arthropoda, Insecta, Hymenoptera, Formicidae. The transcript has 3 exons. The record is from RefSeq and is a predicted model, not a curated record.